This 436-nucleotide ribosomal RNA is filed under the name uncultured marine group I thaumarchaeote. Its description in RNAcentral is "bacterial SSU rRNA". It matches the Rfam family "Archaeal small subunit ribosomal RNA", at positions 448 to 884 of the family's 1478-position model. The record is from RNAcentral. Lineage: Archaea; Thermoproteati; Nitrososphaerota.
AGUUCUGGUGUCAGCCGCCGCGGUAAAACCAGCACCUCAAGUGGUCAGGAGGAUUAUUGGGCCUAAAGCAUCCGUAGCCUGUUCUAUAAGUUUGCGGUUAAAUCUAUACGCUCAACGUAUAGGCUGCUGUAAAUACUGUAGAACUAGGGAGUGGGAGAGGUAGGCGGUACUCGGUAGGAAGGGGUAAAAUCCUUUGAUCUAUUGAUGACCACCUGUGGCGAAGGCGGUCUACCAGAACACGUUCGACGGUGAGGGAUGAAAGCUGGGGGGGCAAACCGGAUUAGAUACCCGGGUAGUCCCAGCUGUAAACGAUGCAGACUCGAUGAUGCAAUGGCAUAGAGCUAUUGCAGUAUCGCAGGGAAGCCGUUAAGUCUGCCGCCUGGGAAGUACGUACGCAAGUAUGAAACUUAAAGGAAUUGGCGGGGGAGCACCACAA